RNAcentral lists this transfer RNA (94 nucleotides) under Pseudomonadota bacterium. RNAcentral's name for it is "tRNA-Ser". It matches the Rfam family "tRNA". Rfam says of the family: Transfer RNA (tRNA) molecules are approximately 80 nucleotides in length. Their secondary structure includes four short double-helical elements and three loops (D, anti-codon, and T loops). RNAcentral also lists the same sequence under 2 other names. The record is from RNAcentral. Lineage: Bacteria; Pseudomonadati; Pseudomonadota.
GGAGAGGUGCUGGAGUGGCUGAACAGGGCUGCCUGCUAAGCAGUUGCACCGGCUAAAACCGGUGUCGGGGGUUCGAAUCCCCCCCUCUCCGCCA